Molecule: long non-coding RNA, 10346 nt
Organism: Dermacentor andersoni
Lineage: Eukaryota; Metazoa; Arthropoda; Arachnida; Ixodida; Ixodidae
Source: RefSeq, a predicted model, not a curated record
UUUCUUCGGUUUGUUGUUGUUGCUUGAAAGCGCUUUUCACCUGCGCUUUCUCAAAAGACCACGGCUGUCCCGCGUUGAGGAGAUACGAGGCGUCCUGGUGCGCGUUUUUAUUUUUAACGUUUUACAACGUGUGCCAUUUUUUUUUCUCCAGCGGCCUCGAGCUGUGGGGCAAGCAGCCCGUGUUCUUAAUAGCCGACGAUUAAUCGGUUGUGUUUGUAAACAUUGCAAGCUCAGUCAGCUGCCGCGAGAAGGUCUCCAUUCCAAGACGGAGGUUUAUGGGAAGAUGCGACACUUGAAGUGAUGAACAAUGGUCGAACAAGAGAUGCGAGGUUGGAGCGAACAUAUCAAACACUCUUUGUCAGGGCCCUGACAAAUGAAAGCGCCCUUGUCGAAAUGUUAGCUUUAAUGUGGGCCAUCUCUUAUGUGACCACUGUUCAUCAAUCACUUCAGGUUUCCGUUGUUUCUUUGGGCUGUACUUUUUUUUUGUUAUUAUGUCACGUUCAAUAUAUUACAUAUUAUGUCUAAAGCACUGGGCUUUUUUACUGCAUGCUCAGCUGUUGUGUUCGUUUUCUUCUAGCAUGAACUCGUUGUGUAUUCACACCUUGUUUCCUUGUCUUUUGCACUCUUUGUCAUCGCAUUGUCUUUCAAGUGGAUUUGCACGUUUUGCAUUUCAUUUGCAGGUUGACCAAGCAGCAGUGUGCAAAAAAGUAGUGUUCAACUGUGAAACAAGUAAUAAGGAACUAAAAGCUUUUUUAAUAUUUCUUUCUUUAUAUACCGUAGUGUCAGUACAAUAUUCACACCUAGGUAGACUUUGUAAAAAAUGAAAGCUUAUAAUUAUACCGUAUUUGUUUACUGCUUCCAUCUCCAGUUCUCUUUAUCUAUGUACUUAUAAAAGUGCAAUUGAGUGUGCUGCUGUAAAAUUUAUAGAAUUGCUAACUCUAUGUUUCUGUUACUAGCAACUGCCAUAACUUAUUGUGUGGUGCCUUUUCUAGUGCUUUCUUUUAUCAUAUUUUUUAUAAUGCAAUACAAAACACUGCUUCUUUUGCAUUGAUUUAUUUAUUGCACCAUAUCUUUUACUUACAGGAAUUACUAAAGUUUAAAAAAAAUGAAAAAGUUGUCCAUUCUUGUUUUCUUUAAAUGCACCCCCUCCCGCCUCUUGUAUAACACCCCAGUCAGAGCCGUUAAAGCUAAAAUCAAUGAUGGAGAUUUUUCUCUCAUGGAAAGGCGGUGUUUAUGUAAGCCUGGGAUGCAAUGGUUCUGUUUCUUUUUUCCCCACACGCUAUCACUGGUUAGAGCAGCUCUCCAGCUACAUAUGUUAUCAGGAUUGGCCAGUCAUGAGCGGUGGGUGAUAUGAAAAAAAAAAAAAAAAAAAAAUCUGAAAAAGCAAUUCUUACAUUACACUAACCCUGUUUUGGCUAAAUAAGCACCUUGGUUUAUUCUUAAAUUGAAAAGCCAUAAAAGUUUAGAAGUGAAUUAAACAAAAAAGAACUUAGAGGGGUAAUAGGCUCAACAAAUUUACGGUGGAUGGAAGUAUGCUUUUGAUAUUAAUAUCAUCUGGUUGCAAGGAUACUUCGGCACAGCACAAGAAGAUGGGACAUGAUUAGUAGACUCAACCAGGCUGAAAUAUACUCGUAAAGUAUUCUUCUACAAGUAUUCUUGUAGAUAUAUACUAACAAGCCCAAUUUACAACCCUUCUGCACAAUUUUCUGGUUAGCAGCAUACAGUCUGAAAACUAAGAAAAAAUACAGAAAGAGCUACAGGAAGUGCGUUAUCGUUUUUCAUUCUUUCGUACCAUCAUUUGUUCAGAAAAAGAGACAGCUGUGGUCCAUUGCAUAUUGUCAUGCCAAUGACGUGCACUUUCUGUGUGGUGUGUAACCUUGGUGUGUCUGACAUAACCAAAUUACUUUGUUUCAGGACUUCCAGAAAACCCACUUUGUGCCUUUGAUGAAGAAACUGGAAGCAGUUACUGUUCUUCUGCUACCAUUUUGUCACUGAUAAAAAUUGUCCUCAGAACUGUUCAUGUCUCUGCCACACAUGCAUGAAGUUUGUUUGGACUGUUGACUGUUCAUGAGGUUUUAAUUAACACCUGUGUUUAUGUGCCUCUGGUAUAUCUGGAUUUUAGUAUGUGCAAUUCUGAAAAUUUUACACAUCAUGGCAAUACACUUUCCAAUGAGAAACUAUUCAGGUCAAUGUGCUUGUUCCUGUCACACUGCUACGAUACCUUCUGUAGAGUUGCUGAUGAUAAAAGUCACAAUUGGCUGGUUUUCUCACGUGCAAAAAUAAAGCAUUCUCACAAGCAUAUAUUCUACUUUGUAUUUUGGAUCAAUAUCUUACGUAACUUCUUCCAAGUUCACUUGGAAAAGGAUCAAAGGCAUACUCGACUGGGUACCGAGGCAUCGAGAAGGGUAUUACUGCAGCUAAUUUUGGGACAAUGCAUAGACAAUGCUGGAGUGCUGUGGAGACUGAGGCAAGCUCUGAACCUCAAGAUUUCAAAUAUCUUGAAGGUUGAUGCCAUCACACAACACAGCCAGGUCUAGGUACUGCUCGUGCUUCUAAUGGCUUUGUAGCGUGCAACGAAGGUUGUACCUGCUGUGAGACUAGUCAACUUGAGGAUUAUUUGGUUUUGUUAAGAGUGUUGCUUUCCUGGCAGCCUGCUUCUUGCUUUUCGCUAAUUAUAUGAGAGUAAUGCUGCACAGAGUCAAAGAACUCAUGAGUGAGCACGAGUGCUUGAACAGAAAAAUGUGUGCUGGGGUUCUCUUUAUGCCAUGUGCAACAGUUUUCCACCUAUUUUUUCACGUUAUGUUUGCUGACCAUAGAAGUAAGCGGAGUAUUCUUGUGCGUUUAUGAUAGGUGAGCAGCCAACCAUUCUUGAAGCAAUGCAACCAGCACUUAUAAAUCAGGAAAAAAAGGAAGCUAUGUGCAGUUAAGAUAGUGGUGACCUCUUUUCAUUUGUGAGCAGACUUCUCACAAGAAAACAUUCUUCUUUGUUGUUUAACUUAUGCAAGAAUUGUGAGCAGCCCACUUGUGAAACAGCGAGUUAUCGUGUUAGCCCAGGGCCUCUGUGCUGUACCGCUGUGUACCAUUUCUCAGUUAGCGGGCAAAGCUCCAGUAUACAAAUUGAGAUAUAACACUCAGUCUGAAAACUUAGACCAACAUUGCAUAGGUUGUAUCCUUCUAAUAAAUAACUUUGCCUUUGUUUGCCAGUUUAGCACUACUUCUGUUGUUUAAUGGCUGUUGUUAAAUUUUUGCCGUGUCAGUUACUUGGCAUCUUCUUCUGCCAAAGUAAAUUAUAAUUGGUUGGGUUCAACACAAUCUCACUGAAAACCAUGCUUGUUUACAUGACCCUUUUUCAGGGUGUGGUAAGUAUAACCAUAUAACCGCUUUUAUUUACAGAACACCAGUAGUGACGCCUAGUGGAAUUUUGUUCAACCACAACCUGUUUGGAAGCUUGUUACCUUGUGUGGAUGUUCUCAAUGACACCUAGUGAUUGCAACCACACAUCUUUAGAAACUUAAGUUGCACGAGUGUUCUCAUUGUAGUGACGCAUUGUUUUUUAGAAACUUUCUUGUGUUGCACAAAUGUUCUCCCCCAAAAGAAAGGCUUAUAUAUGUCAAUGAUUGCUGCCUAUGUCUUUACAACAGUAGCUAAGCAGAACUGCAGGUCAUUGUAGUUUUAGUCUUGUAUGCUCUCUAAUUGGACUCAACAUCACAAGUUAGUGCUACCAGUGCUCCACGUUAAUGGUAAUAGUUCAUUGAAGCACAGGCUAAAACUAUUAUCUUCUUUUCUUUGCAUAAGGACUUUGUGCAGGGCUUCACAGUACUUUUUCUUCUACAAACAGUUAGCAGCAACAACAAAAAAUAAAAGGCGACUAGCUCCUUGUCAUACCCGACUGAUUAGUGCCUUGCUGUUGUUCUGUUUGACACCAGGACGUGCCAGCCAGGACUGGCACAUUCAGCUGAACUCCCACUUCCUGCGGCCGAACCAGUUCCGGUGCCACCGGUGCUCCCGGAUGUUCACGCGGCGCAGCAGCCUUGAGCGGCAUGCGCUCAUCCACACCGGGGAUCGGCCCUUCAGGUGCCUCUACUGUGGCGCCUCGUUUGCCCUCAAGCAAACCCUCUCGCGGCACAUCCUGACCCACACGGGCGAGAAGCCGCACAAGUGCGACUUCUGCCUGCGCACCUUCAUCCAGAGGUCCAUCCUGGUGCGACACCGCAAGAAGCACCUCCAAGAGCAGGGCAUCGCCGUCAGCUGAGGAGCACACGCUUCAGCAUCUUCGCAUGGACGCUUGAGUGCCACAGUGUCUGCUUUAGCACUUCCCUCGUAGGCUGUGGAGACAGGAGAGGAGGAGAGAGGAGACAGGUGCUUCAGCACAUUUUCUCACUCUUGUGACUACAGCUGGAGUGUUCCCAAGGCGUCUUCAAGAGCAUCACCGUCAGCUGAAGUACAGAUGCUUCAGAGCCUUCGCCACUUGACUGGCACAUGGUCUACUCUGGCGUUGCCCUCAAAGAGGUGGUCCAUUGCCAUCAACGAAGAGACGGGUAAUCCAGCACACUUCUUCGAACACUUGACCAUGGCUGAUGUGUUAUAGUGGCAUCUUUAAGAACAGGGCACUGCCAUCAUGUGACGGAUGAGUGCUUUACUAAUUUCUCUUCGACGCUCGACAUGCCGAGUGGCAUACGGCUGCAUGUCCUGGACGGGCACGUUGACUGCAGAAAGCAUUCGCAGGCCAACAUGUGUAUGGCUGGACCUGACAGCAGCUGCUGGUGGCAUAAUUUCAUGAAUUGGUGGGCUUGUUUUUAUUGCUCGAAUUUUAUUGUGCAUCUUUCACCUCACGCAUACUCUCAAGCCGGUGCCGCUCGCGCUCUGCUUUGAACUGUUUUUGGCGCACGAAGAUGUUGGCCACUGCUAGCCAGUCACAUUCCACAGCUCGAAGUGUUCCCAUCACGGUGUCUUGUCCAGGCAUGCCAUCUCAGGGCACAUUUUCACGCACACAGAUUGCUGGUCACAAAUUUGUAGCCUCUACUAGCAAGCUAUCGUUUGAUGGUCUGAUAAAAUCCUGCGUAGUACUGCAAGGAUCGCUGCCAGGACUUGGCAUCACGUCUGCUGACUAAGAGACAGAGUCUACAACUUACUUAGCUGCCUUUCAGUGACUUGUAUCAGAGCUGGACAACCAACCGUAACACUGCAGCAAUGUGUGUUCAACUCCAAUAAGUGGUAGCAGAAAGCGUAUGUGUAGGCAAUGUCGUGAUGCAAGCAGCGCUGCACGACCUUGACAUGUCACGCAGGCUCGUGUGCUGUGGCCCAACAGGAAUCCUGGCAUCGUUUCUUCAUGCCUGUCAUGCAAACCUGUGAAACAGCCAGUGUCUGGCAUUACAUGUCAACGGCAACUCUUUAUGUUGUCUUGAUUAAGUGUAUAAGUAAUGUGCGUGUGGCCUCGUAGCACAGUGCAGUGGUUUUGCUGAUGUGUGAUAGGGCAUUUCUACGUUCUUUUAAUGUCUAAGUUUUAUGGCGCCGCUAUUUGUCAACAACUUUUGUUUAUGUUGCAAAGGGACACUUGGGUCAACUGCGCAAUGCUGCAUGUUUGCAGCGCAUACUUUAACACAGCCCAGCAGUAGGAAUGUUGCUUGCAUAAAUAAGUGCUUAUUAAGCUUCUACAAAUCUAGGUCAGAUAGCCCAAGAAUAAGGCACAGGAAUUUUCAAGCAGCACUGCUUUAAACUGUCCUCCUGUUUACAGUGGCCAACAUUCACAUGGAACUUUCCAAGAUGUCAUGGCAAAAGUGCUGUUGCAUUUUAUAAUUAAUAAUGUUCGCUUUAUCUGAUAAAUGAAAACCUCUUUUGUAGAGCUAGUGUGCUCACUGCUGUAAUGGGUUGCUCACUUGAACAUGUGGAACAGAGGUACGAGCAGAUGUGUGAAGCGAUACCACAGGGAGGCAUGGCGUGUUUGUCGGGCUGCGUGUCUGUAUCGGCUUGUUUUUGUCGAGCCAGUGUUAUUCUGAACAAUCUGAGCUUCCCCAUGAGACAUUGUUAAAUACUGUUAUACAUCUACAUCCUUUGAUUAGCGUUUAUUUUUGUGUGCUUCUGCAACGAGUCAGAUUCAUAUAGAUCCUGAGACAUGUACACUUGUGCAGACACGUGCCCAGACUCAGUCUAGGAAAUGAUACGUGCGGUAGACAACAGCGUUUUGUGCAUUUGGUUUAUUUCGUUUGCGCCUAGUCGUCUACCCAAUGUAUCAUAAAAGUAUAGAAUGUCAACUCGCCCAAACCUACACCCUGCUCCAGGAAAAGAUACUGCGUAAAACAGACUUAGGACGAGGAGAGACAUGUACUAGUGCGACCAUCUUCAGGGUCAUUGGCCUUUACGAGGCAUCAUUGCUGCUGCUGGGAAUUGCUGUGCAUGAUCGCUAAAACAGCACACGCCUACAAGGUACACUUUGCAGCCUCAGUGCUUGUCUAGCUGGGGGUAUACUUUCACAUUUACAUUGUUAUAGGCAGCUAGUGUUGAAUUUUUCUAUCCUUGUGUAAGGCACAUAGUACGUGUCGAAUAUAGUUGAGAACCACGAACUGCUGUCAUUGCACCCUUAUCACGAAUGCAAGCUUCUGCUCACAAUGCUGCCAUUAUUGUUGAUGCUACACGGCGUGUUCAAGCCACAGCAUGAGUCACAGAAGUCCAACUGAUCUGAGGCUAGAGUCCAUCAGGACAGAUAUUCCUCCAUCGUUCAUCUUUGGGUAUACAAUUGCUUUCACAAGGUUUUGCAUAGCUAGCACCAGACAGGUUGGCAUCUCCAGCCCAUAGCCUUCUUGGCACUGUCCCAGGAACGCUGGCGCAUUCCCGGAUGCUGACGCAUUCAGUGCUAGUCAACUUGUAAACUUGUCCCGAGUACCUCCUCUGGAUACUGAUGCUCUGAGACUCAAAGCAACCUUGCUAAUGUAGUUGCUUGUGGUAGCACUUAUUUUUAUAGAACAGUUGCUGCAUGGCUUUUAAAUGGCAUGCACUUUGCAUGCAAGUCCUGGAAUUGAAGAUACCGACAACCAGGGCCCCUAGCGGCCAUAGGCACUUAGGUGCUUACUGUAUGUCACGAAAUUCAGCUUGCAUAUAUGUUAUACAUGCUUCACUCACACCCAAUCAGACAGGACACAUGGCUAAAGUGAAAGGAGUAUGUAUUGUGGGACAAAUUGUCACAAGUCAGUAAACAAAGCAUUAUGGUGCAAGAUGUGUAUCAUACCCAGCUGCUAAAAAAAAAAAAAAAGCCAAAUUGCUGCGUGUGCCAAGAAGUCGAAUCUUUACCUUAUCCAACUUAUCUGACAUUCUUAUGCACAGAUACCAUGUGCUCGGAAAUGAGGUCAUGGUGACAUUUUUUAUAAAUAAACAAACAUCUCUUGGGGCUUCAAGCAAAUGUUAGUAGACUAAAUAUGUAAAUUCGUCACUCUUAAAUAUUGCUGCCGGCAAUGAAAGUGCAUUUUUAGCACAACCACUAUGUUACAAUAAUAAAAACAGCACUUUUAACCCGUGAAGUUUGAAUGCUGAGGUACUUGUAGUAAUAUAUGUUUUUUCAUUCUUUGGCAGCUACGAGCAAUGUAUGUGUGUGCAGACAGCAAAAAAAUUGUGAAACAGAAACCUGAUAAUGUGCAAACAGAAAGGUCACGCAAGUCUUGUGCUUCUUGAAACUAUGCUCCGUUUGGCACAUGACAAAAGCCAACUUCAAGCUGUGCAACCCAGUUCCUGUCACACUUGAAGUGCUACAAAGCUGCAAAUCCAAAUACCAGAACAACUCUUUGCCUUCGAUUUGAUUCCUUUCCAAUGACUGACUGCGCAGACAGCAGUAAUGGCAGCAAAGUGACAGAGGAACUUGUAUUUCACCAGAACAUGGCAUUAUGCAAGCUACUAAGGAACACAUAUUUGGUUCCUCAGUAGGGAAGCUUCCCUGCUGAAGGAAAGUUCACCCCCCAUGUCUUCUUCAAUUUUAAUUCUUUUACAUUUAUGUGUUGUGCUCAGUUGCUUAUCCUGGCGAUAACAAUUGGUGAAGUGGUAUGCAAGCCACUGACUGGAGGUAACACAAAGAGAAUUGGAAAAUGGUUGCAAGAUAUGGCCCCCAGUCCAGGAAUUCAAUCUAGCACACCUGUUUAGCUGGAGUUAGUCAAUUUCAAUUUAUUGCUUCUCAUAGUAGUUGCAAGUUUUGACAAAUAAAAAGUACAGAAAGAGGUCCCAUAGUCUACGACUAUUGGGAUCUGCCAAGUGAACCAACCAAGAGGCUGAACAGGCAGCUAGCUGUUAACCAGACCAUGGGCUUAACUUCCCAAAACUACACAAAGUGUUUUGAGGCAGGCAGCCAAGAGUCGAACCCUGAUCUCGAGCUCGGUGGUGCAAGCGGACCGUUCGCUUUCCCUCAUGUGAUUGGUUAGAAUCGGAAAAUUGAAAUGUUCACGAAAGGGUUUCAAAAAGAGUAAAAGUGAGACGGAGUCAUUUGUACUGUUUUCAGUUUUGGGAGAACAAUGAAUGACAAGAUUUUCUUUUCCCUCACUCUCCGAAAUUCCGGGUGGAGCACUGAAUGAAAUUGAUGCUCAGUACAUGGCUCAGAGCCAUGUCUCCUCCUAGAUUUGAGUGAGCCAUCCAAAAUUUUGAUUGGACAAAGGAUGUACAGGGCCCAGAUAAUGCAAUGAUUAUAUUCCAAUUAUUUUCUUUCUGCUGUCUUCAAUAGUCUAUGCAGCACUACACUCAUGUUAUCACCAGGAUGGGCUAGUAAUCAGUGGAGGAGGAGGAAAGAACUUUAUUGUAAUCAGUAGAGGAUGGUAAAUAAUAGAAUAAAGCGAAAGGAAACCUUACAUUAUAACGGUUCAGAACUCGUAGCCUUGGCUAAAUUCACAAGUGGUCUGCUGUUUUAGUAACGACAACAUGAAUGUGUAUGCAGAUGAACAGCCAAGCCAGCCUUCACAGAUAAUGCAUUUCAUUUGCUGGUAAUGCCAAUGCUUAUCGCAAGGCAGAGCCCAGAAUAUUGGAAGCUGCCAACUCGGUUGGUUGUAGAAGGAAACAGUGAAGAGCUAUUAUGUUUUCCAAGGCAGUGUCCCUGGUCAGUGUGGCCAGCCCGGUUUGCAGAUGACGAAACGCACUACGUUGCAAUGCUAACAAUGAUUCUCUCCUCUUUGCACUUAUGUUAUCGUACUCCAAGAGCUACUUACUCUGGUUUCAUUGUCGGAAGCCAGUAGCUAUGUUUUAGUGUUGUGUUGUGUUUGACGUGUGCGUGUGACAAGAGUUGAAGCAACUUUGUUUUUCUUCGUUACUGGAAAAUCUCAGCUUAACUGACGACGUGAAGCAAGUACCUUACAGUUAUUUCAUAAUUCUGUGCCAAUGAAUUGCAGCAGUGAAUAUGUUUUGUUGUGGCAGCCGGACUUACACUUUCCAUCGUCUUAUUUUUUUGGCUCUUUAGCAAAAAAAAAAAAAAAAAAAACUGUGGGCUUCUGUUUGUGAGAUGCGACCACGAGGGUCUUUGCCAAGACCACCUGAAAGAAAGCUGGAAGAUUCUGUUGUGGCAGCUGACUUUAAAUGUUAAAGAAAUGCUAUCUCGUUGCAGCUUGGCCUUAAAAGCCUAAUGGCAGCUACUUGUUAGUCUUUCAAACUUGGAUUAUUAUUUAUUUGUUAUUUAUGUUUUUGGUUACCCGUUUACUCCACUUGCCAAAACAGAACAAAGUAUUUCCGAGUGUUGCUGAAAGUUUUUGACUAGCAAGCACUAUUUCCGAGUGAUCAAAUGCUGCGGAGAAGUUUUGCGAUGAAAUGUCUCACAAUAAUUUGUGUUCUUUUACUUGUUAUUUAACGCACAACACAUUUUUAUACUCGGCCUUUUCAUGUUUAGCUGAAAACAAGUACAGGCCAAUUGCUUCGCUUAUGUAUAUUGUGCUUUCAUUUACUUUAUUCAAUCUUUGUUUGUCUGUUUUAGAAAACACUGUUACGUUCCAAGUUUGUAUAGACACUUUUGGUCAAGUAUGUCCUAAAGAUGUGACUGAGAACUUCAAAUUUCCUUGGAAGAAAACGCAACUCAAGCUUUGACUUCUUGGCAAAGCGCCACAUAUUUUUAAGUACACUUAUCUUUACUAGCACAUCUCUUUAUGUGUGCAUUUUUCUAAUAUAAAGAGAACUGCCGACAAAGCUUGUUGAAGUACAUGUUUGUGGGUUGCACGCUUUACUUUUUUUCCAUUGUUGGAUUUAUCACUGUUCUCAAUUGAAUGUGAGACUAAACACUGUGCUGUGAACAUCAGAUGUUUUAUUACUGACUUACAACUUACUUGCACUGAACUAUGUAAGAAGUGGAACUUGUGUUUCAGUUACACGUUGAAGUAAUAAAUUUGCACCGUGAA